GGCCCACAUUGGAGUUGUGUCUCGGCCCACCCCUCGUGGCCCUGUCUGCACACUCACGUGGGCCAAGAG
RNAcentral lists this small nucleolar RNA (69 nucleotides) under Leptomonas pyrrhocoris. It matches the Rfam family "Trypanosomatid snoRNA TB9Cs2H1". The record is from RNAcentral. Lineage: Eukaryota; Euglenozoa; Kinetoplastea; Trypanosomatida; Trypanosomatidae.